RNAcentral lists this ribosomal RNA (430 nucleotides) under uncultured Enterobacteriaceae bacterium. RNAcentral's name for it is "bacterial SSU rRNA". It matches the Rfam family "Bacterial small subunit ribosomal RNA", at positions 950 to 1382 of the family's 1533-position model. The record is from RNAcentral. Lineage: Bacteria; Pseudomonadati; Pseudomonadota; Gammaproteobacteria; Enterobacterales; Enterobacteriaceae.
UUCGAUGCAACGCGAAAACCUUACCUGCCCUUGACAUGUCAGGAAUCUUUCAGAGAUGAGAGAGUGCCUUCGGGAACCUGAACACAGGUGCUGCAUGGCUGUCGUCAGCUCGUGUCGUGAGAUGUUGGGUUAAGUCCCGUAACGAGCGCAACCCUUGUCCUUAGUUGCCAGCGGUUCGGCCGGGAACUCAAAGGAGACUGCCAGUGAUAAACUGGAGGAAGGUGGGAUGACGUCAAGUCAUCAUGGCCCUUACGACCAGGGCUACACACGUGCUACAAUGGCGCAUACAAAGAGAAGCGACCUCGCGAGAGCAAGCGGACCUCAUAAAGUGCGUCGUAGUCCGGAUUGGAGUCUGCAACUCGACUCCAUGAAGUCGGAAUCGCUAGUAAUCGUGGAUCAGAAUGCCACGGUGAAUACGUUCCCGGGCCUU